CUACGGGAUGCUGCAGUGAGGAAUAUUGGUCAAUGGGCGCAAGCCUGAACCAGCCAUCCCGCGUGCAGGAUGACGGCCCUAUGGGUUGUAAACUGCUUUUGUUUGCCAAGAAUGGCCACUACGUGUAGUGGUUUGACGGCAGCAGAUGAAUAAGGACCGGCUAACUCCGUGCCAGCAGCCGCGGUAAUACGGAGGGUCCAAGCGUUAUCCGGAUUCAUUGGGUUUAAAGGGUGCGCAGGCGGGCCUUUAAGUCAGUGGUGAAAUCUUGCCGCUUAACGGUAAAAUUGCCAUUGAUACUGAAGGUCUUGAAUAUAGUUGAGGUAGGCGGAAUGUGUUGUGUAGCGGUGAAAUGCAUAGAUAUGACACAGAACGCCGAUUGCGAAGGCAGCUUACUAAGCUAUGAUUGACGCUGAGGCACGAAAGCGUGGGGAGCGAACAGGAUUAGAUACCCGCGUAGUC
Molecule: ribosomal RNA, 459 nt
Filed under: uncultured bacterium
Lineage: Bacteria
Description: partial 16S ribosomal RNA
Rfam family: Bacterial small subunit ribosomal RNA
Source: RNAcentral